UUGCAAGCGUGCUAGAGCAUCGAAGGAAGAACCAUACUUGUGGAAGAUCAUCAUAUCAAUGCAAUGAUCUAGGACUCACUAUGUCAAAGACAAAAAGCAGGCCUCUCAGUUACCAAAUGCAGAUCCAUUUAAUGCAUGAAGUUGUGAAGUGAUAUUUGGAAGGAUGUACACUUGAGUGUCUAAGAAGUUUACAAUUGAUUGUUUUU
This is a long non-coding RNA of Cryptomeria japonica (Japanese cedar), 206 nucleotides long. RefSeq lists it as uncharacterized. The record is from RefSeq and is a predicted model, not a curated record. Lineage: Eukaryota; Viridiplantae; Streptophyta; Pinopsida; Cupressales; Cupressaceae. The transcript is spliced from 3 exons.